Molecule: long non-coding RNA, 1284 nt
Organism: Leucoraja erinaceus (little skate)
Lineage: Eukaryota; Metazoa; Chordata; Chondrichthyes; Rajiformes; Rajidae
Exons: 3
Source: RefSeq, a predicted model, not a curated record
UCAUAGUCUGACCUUGUUUUAAUCUGCCAUUUUUCUCAGGUGGAGAAAAGCAAAGAGUAGCAAUUGCUCGGACAAUUCUGAAAAAUCCUCGCAUUAUAUUGUAUGAUGAAGCUACGUCUUCAUUGGAUUCCAUCACAGAAGAGAAUAUUCUCAAAGCAACGCGGGACUUGAUUGAGCAUCGUACGUCUGUGUUUAUUGCUCAUCGGCUCACUACAAUUGUUGAUGCAGAUCAAAUUCUGGUUCUGGAUAAGGGUAAAAUAGCAGAACGAGGAACCCAUUCGAGUCUCUUGAAUAAUGUCAACAGUCUUUAUUCUGAACUGUGGCACACACAAAAUAUCAGGGUGCACAACAAAAACUCCAGUCGUCAAGAAGGAAAGAGAGUAAUGUCUUCCAAGGAAGAAGAAAGACGAAAAUUAUCAGAAGAGAUUCUGAACAGCGUUAAAGGUUGUGGAAACUGCUCUUGUUGAAAAUCUUUUAUCUUGUAUUGGGAGUAAAUCUAUGCUGGCAUUUUGCACUGGAAGCGUUAUUAGGUAACAAUGUAUAAAUAGACCAUUUUGAACGGCAAAGCUGAGGAAACCUUUUCAUGAUGGAUUUUAUUUUUUGUUUUAACCAAACUGGUCAAAAUAUUUUUGAUUGGUAAACCUGAUGUUGAGGGUCCCUUCAUGGAACAGCAAAUUGAAAACUGGUAUCAAAAAUGGAUCAAAUAAACAAUUCCAUUGCAGUAGGAUCCAUACAUUUCCUAUGUUUAUGUUUAAGGGAAUUUUAGUGACUAUACUGAAUUACCGGUAUACAGUGGUUGGCUAAUGCUGUAUCAGUGUUAGCAUGGGCUAAUUUUGGGAAUGGUCAUGGUAAGCUAAACUAGUGUUUGUUUUAGCCCAUGGUUGAGUAUGUUGGGGACUGUGCAGUGGGAAUGUUAUGAUCCUCAUCGGAUAAAUUGUGUAAAUAUUUAGUGUUGGAUUAUACCAUUUCUAAUUGGGGCAGUGCUUGGUUUACCCAAAUACAUAACGGAAUUAUUUUGAGAAUAAGGCACAAGUGAACUCUUUGGAACAAUGUUUACCAAUAAUGCACAUUUUGAACUUUGUUUACAGCCAUUUUAAAUUGUUCUGGAGAUAUGAUAAACAGCUGGUUGAUAAUUUAUUAGUUACUAAUUUGAGAUAACAUGCCAAUAUUUUACUGAAAAGGCUUUGUAAAAGGCUGUAACAGAAUAUGCCUCUGGUUAUCUCUCGAACUAUAUUGCCUGUACGUAUUUGUUAUCCUGUUGAUUAAACAUCAGUUCUGUAUAAA